Molecule: small nucleolar RNA, 134 nt
Filed under: Dasypus novemcinctus (nine-banded armadillo)
Lineage: Eukaryota; Metazoa; Chordata; Mammalia; Cingulata; Dasypodidae
Description: Small nucleolar RNA SNORA1 (ENSDNOG00000038070.1)
Rfam family: Small nucleolar RNA SNORA1
About the family: ACA1 is a member of the H/ACA class of snoRNA that guide the sites of modification of uridines to pseudouridines.
Source: RNAcentral
AGGCUCAUUCCAUAUGACAAUGGGUACAGUUGAUCAUAGUGUUCAGAAAUGCUAAUAUGGCUAAAUUGAGACACAGGUUAUACUUCCAUUACAGUAAAUUUAUUGCAGGGGUGACAAUGAGACCUGUAACUUUU